AGCAGCAGCCGCGGUAAUACGUAGGUCCCGAGCGUUGUCCGGAUUUAUUGGGCGUAAAGCGAGCGCAGGCGGUUAGAUAAGUCUGAAGUUAAAGGCUGUGGCUUAACCAUAGUACGCUUUGGAAACUGUUUAACUUGAGUGCAGAAGGGGAGAGUGGAAUUCCAUGUGUAGCGGUGAAAUGCGUAGAUAUAUGGAGGAACACCGGUGGCGAAAGCGACUCUCUGGUCUGUAACUGACGCUGAGGCUCGAAAGCGUGGGGAGCGAACAGGAUUAGAUACCCCCGUAGUCCCUGUCUCUUAUACA
RNAcentral lists this ribosomal RNA (303 nucleotides) under uncultured bacterium. RNAcentral describes it as "partial 16S ribosomal RNA". It matches the Rfam family "Bacterial small subunit ribosomal RNA", at positions 507 to 808 of the family's 1533-position model. The record is from RNAcentral.